This 468-nucleotide ribosomal RNA is filed under the name uncultured bacterium. RNAcentral describes it as "partial 16S ribosomal RNA". It matches the Rfam family "Bacterial small subunit ribosomal RNA", at positions 28 to 507 of the family's 1533-position model. The record is from RNAcentral.
GACGAACGCUGGCGGCGUGCUUAACACAUGCAAGUCGAACGGAAAGGCCCUGCUUUUGUGGGGUGCUCGAGUGGCGAACGGGUGAGUAACACGUGAGUAACCUGCCCUUGACUUUGGGAUAACUUCAGGAAACUGGGGCUAAUACCGGAUAGGAGUUCCUGCUGCAUGGUGGGGGUUGGAAAGGUUCGGCGGUUGGGGAUGGACUCGCGGCUUAUCAGCUUGUUGGUGGGGUAGUGGCUUACCAAGGCUUUGACGGGUAGCCGGCCUGAGAGGGUGACCGGCCACAUUGGGACUGAGAUACGGCCCAGACUCCUACGGGAGGCAGCAGUGGGGAAUAUUGCACAAUGGGCGGAAGCCUGAUGCAGCAACGCCGCGUGCGGGAUGACGGCCUUCGGGUUGUAAACCGCUUUCGCCUGUGACGAAGCGUGAGUGACGGUAAUGGGUAAAGAAGCACCGGCUAACUACGUG